Molecule: ribosomal RNA, 312 nt
Filed under: uncultured eukaryote
Lineage: Eukaryota
Description: partial 18S ribosomal RNA
Rfam family: Eukaryotic small subunit ribosomal RNA
Source: RNAcentral
CCCUUAGAUGUUCUGGGCCGCACGCGCGCUACACUGAUGCAUUCAACGAGUUCCUACCUUGGCCGAGAGGCCUGGGCAAUCUUUUGAACUUGCAUCGUGAUAGGGAUAGAUUAUUGCAAUUAUUAAUCUUGAACGAGGAAUUCCUAGUAAACGCAGAUCAUCAAUCUGCAUUGAUUACGUCCCUGCCCUUUGUACACACCGCCCGUCGCUCCUACCGAUUGGGUGAGCCGAUGAAACUCUCGGAUGUAGGCUAUUCAUAGCCCGCAGAAGAGAUUUGAAUCGUAGCGCUUAGAGGAAGGAGAAGUCGUAACA